Molecule: ribosomal RNA, 440 nt
Filed under: uncultured bacterium
Lineage: Bacteria
Description: bacterial SSU rRNA
Rfam family: Bacterial small subunit ribosomal RNA
Source: RNAcentral
UAGGGAAUUUUCGUCAAUGGGGGGAACCCUGAACGAGCAAUGCCGCGUGUGUGAAGAAGGUCUUCGGAUCGUAAAGCACUGUUGUAAGUGAAGAAUGCCACAUAGAGGAAAUGCUAUGUGGGUGACGGUAGCUUACCAGAAAGCCACGGCUAACUACGUGCCAGCAGCCGCGGUAAUACGUAGGUGGCAAGCGUUAUCCGGAAUCAUUGGGCGUAAAGGGUGCGUAGGUGGCACGAUAAGUCUGAAGUAAAAGGCAACAGCUCAACUGUUGUAUGCUUUGGAAACUGUCGAGCUUGAGUGCAGAAGGGGGUCGAUGGAAUUCCAUGUGUAGCGGUAAAAGUGCGUAGAUAUAUGGAGGAACACCAGUGGCGAAGGCGGUCGCCUGGUCUGUAACUGACACUGAUGCACGAAAGCGUGGGGAGCAAAUAGGAUUAGAUACC